This 497-nucleotide ribosomal RNA is filed under the name uncultured bacterium. RNAcentral describes it as "partial 16S ribosomal RNA". It matches the Rfam family "Bacterial small subunit ribosomal RNA", at positions 28 to 507 of the family's 1533-position model. The record is from RNAcentral.
GAUGAACGCUGGCGGCGUGCCUAAUACAUGCAAGUCGAGCGAUCAGACGCGGCUCUUUCUCCUCUUUCGUUAGCGACGGACGGGUGAGUCGCACGUAGCUAACCUACCUCUCAGACUUAGAUACCUUCGGGAAACCGUAGUUCAUACCGUAUCAUAUCUUUACCCGCAUUGUUCAAUAGUGAAAGACUGUUUUGCUGUCGCUUAUAGAUGGUUCCGCGCCGCAUUAGCUAGUUGGUAAGGUAACGGCUUCCCAAGGCAACGAUGCGUAGCCGAACUGCGAGGGUGAUCGGCCACACGGGAACUGAGACGCGGUCAAGACUACUACGGGAGGCAGCAGUAGGGAAUGUGACGCAAUGGGCGAAAGCAUGACGGAGCAACGCCGCGUGAGUGAUGAAGGUCUUCGGAGAGGAAAACUCUGUUAUGAGGGAAGAACAAAUGUGUAAGGAAAAAUGGACGAAGUGACGGUACCUAAACAGAAAGCCACGGCUAACUACGUG